GAUGAACGCUGGCGGCGUGCCUAAUACAUGCAAGUCGAGCGAACAGACGAGGAGCUUGCUCCUCUGACGUUAGCGGCGGACGGGUGAGUAACACGUGGAUAACCUACCUAUAAGACUGGGAUAACUUCGGGAAACCGGAGCUAAUACCGGAUAAUAUAUUGAACCGCAUGGUUCAAUAGUGAAAGACGGUUUUGCUGUCACUUAUAGAUGGAUCCGCGCCGCAUUAGCUAGUUGGUAAGGUAACGGCUUACCAAGGCGACGAUGCGUAGCCGACCUGAGAGGGUGAUAGGCCACACUGGAGCGUAGACACGGUCCAGACUACUACGAGAGGCAGCAGUAGGGAAUCUUCCGCAAUGGGCGAAAGCCUGACGGAGCAACGCCGCGUGAGUGAUGAAGGUCUUCGGAUCGUAAAACUCUGUUAUUAGGGAAGAACAAAUGUGUAAGUAACUAUGCACGUCUUGACGGUACCUAAUCAGAAAGCCACGGCUAACUACGUG
This 497-nucleotide ribosomal RNA is filed under the name uncultured bacterium. Its description in RNAcentral is "partial 16S ribosomal RNA". It matches the Rfam family "Bacterial small subunit ribosomal RNA", at positions 28 to 507 of the family's 1533-position model. The record is from RNAcentral.